GAAGAACGACGAAAAAUCUUCACGAAAUUGCUCACAGAAAUGUCUCGAAAGCAUUACGGAAGAACCUCGACUUGGAUUUUCUUCAACGAAACAUGUUUUUUCACCCAAAACAGCUUAAAU
RNAcentral lists this unclassified non-coding RNA (120 nucleotides) under uncultured fungus. RNAcentral's name for it is "sequence contains ITS1". The record is from RNAcentral. Lineage: Eukaryota; Fungi.